AAAUAACCUGUGAUCUUUAUUGCAUAUAAAGCAAUAAUGUUCUUGGAAUCCUAAAUAACACAAUGACAAUCAGUGAGAAUGCAGCUUGCUAGACUAGGUUCCUCUGCAUAUAAUGAGUUGGAUGAAAGCUUGACAUUUCAAUAAGCAUUAAAUAUAUAGUUGAUAUAGCACUUGAAGAAGGCAGCUGUAAAUUAUUUCUUAUCACAGCUUCAGUAGACCACUUACAUUUUAUCUGCAGAAGAGAAUUUCAGUGGUUGCUUUAGAUGUGACUGCUUAAAUUCAAAGAAGAAAAUGUUUUAACCAGGACACCUUUUCAUCUACUUCUGUUUUGAUGAGGGUAAUUUAUGCUCUUAUUAAAUCAUCUAUUAGUAAUCAGGUGAGAAAAGACAGAAGGUAAGCAUGUUGGAAAUUAAAGUAGAAAGCAUUAAGAAAGGUUCCCAUAUUGUGUUUUGCAGGCUGCAGAAUGUGGUUUUAACAUUGCAGCAAAGCCAAGGAGAGACUCUCCUCUACAAAAGCAGAAGGUCCAGCUGAUUUCAACCGGCUCCAUAUGGGCAGCCACUGAGCCACAUACCUUCAGUCCUGGAAGGAUUCUUUCCCAGACAUGCAGGAAAAGAGUAAACGAAGAAACAUGAAAACAUCAUUUCUGGAGGAGAAACAGCAUGAAACCAAUCUGGCUGCAACAUGUAUGUUUGUAAACACUGGACCACAUUCUCAACUGCAUAGCUUCAUUGACUUUGAUUAGUAAAGAUCUGGUCUACUGGUUUUCUCUCAGAUAAAUAUUAAUGUGCACUUACUUCUGUCUCAAAAUGGAUCUCAUUGAUAUCAAAUGCAGAAAGGACAGCUGAAACAAGG
This 852-nucleotide long non-coding RNA is filed under the name Anas platyrhynchos platyrhynchos (common mallard). RNAcentral describes it as "lncRNA (ENSAPLG00000018817.1)". Lineage: Eukaryota; Metazoa; Chordata; Aves; Anseriformes; Anatidae. The record is from RNAcentral.